Long non-coding RNA from Mus musculus (house mouse), 1796 nucleotides. RefSeq annotates it as predicted gene, 53198. NCBI's taxonomy places the organism in Eukaryota, Metazoa, Chordata, Mammalia, Rodentia, Muridae. The transcript has 3 exons. The record is from RefSeq and is a predicted model, not a curated record.
AUAUUGGGGACAUUUUGUGUUACAGCCACUGGAGGGAUCAUGUUGCUGCCUUAACCCUGUUACCCAAGAAAAGAGUAAUCAGCUUAUUCGGGCCACACUCACAGACUCAGCACCUUUCUUUCCACAUAGCCUGCCUGAUGGGGACACCCAGAGAGGUACAGUCAACACUAGCUUUUGUACCAGAAGCUAGCCACAAUUGACCCAAAUAUUGGCCAGUAAUAUUCAUCUCCCAUAGAAGAAUUCUGAGUUGCAUAGACGCUUAGUAACUUGCUCUCUUUUUUUUUUCAAGUGCUCCAACUAAUCACUUUAUUUAAGUAACUACAACCACCUUCUAAGUAAUUUUAUAUCACUAAUUCUAGGACUUCCCCCAAACAUCAAAGUUGAGGAUGCUCUGGUUUAAUAUUUUUAUUGGACUUACACAUAUCUUCUUAUAUGCUUAAAGUCAUUUCUAGAUAACAUAUAAUACUUAAUGUUAUAACUGUGUUAUAGCUAGUUGUUAUGUUGUAUUGGUUAUGGGAAUGUGAUAAGACAAGCAACAUGGAUAGUAGAGACACAGCUAUGGCCAUUCUAGUGCCACACUCUCCAUCACUGACAAGGUAACUUUAGAACAUUAUUUUAACCUGGGGAUUAUUGAAGCCAAGGAAAUAGAACCCAAAAAUACAGAGGUCAAUAGUGUAACUUGCUCUCUUGGACAGAACAUGAUUGGCUGGUACUCUUUUUCAAAUACUUGACUCAGAUAUGAUGAUCACAAACACAUUGUAUUCUCUUGUAGUCUUAGUGUCUACACUAGAGUACUGAUCUCUCACUGACCCUGCUUUCACCUCUCAAAUCUGCAGGCUCUGUUAGACAAGUUCUGUGGUGGAGGAUCAUUUUCACCAUCUAUGUAUUCUGACUCAUUUAGGCAAGUGUUAAACAAGAUGGUGUAUGGAAUGCACAGUGUCCAACCCAGACAGGUGGUUGGGAAACUGCUUUUCCUCCUGACACCUAGAGCCUGUUCAUGGGACAGGCCAGCAGCAGGCAUCCAGGCUAGAGAAUCCCUUCAGACAGCAAUUCCUCAAGAGACCCAUUGAGUUGGUUCUCAGAUGCCUGGCAACAUCUUGAAACACGUACCCAGAUACUUCCUGACAUGAGGAUGUGCACACUCAGCAUUCCUGACGCUGAUUGAGAUGUGUCUACAGAAGAGCAAGAAACGGGGCUGAGGCCACUAAGAACAGCACCACCUGUGCACACAUCAUUACAUAGAAUGCAUAAAUUUCUUCAGAGCCUCUGGAAAGGAGUUAGCAUGUCUUUGAAUCUGACUGAGACGGGAGCAUGGAUUUCGGAGUGGUGUUUCUGUUGCUCAAAGAGCAAGGUCCAGAGUUUUUAAUACUACCAUCUCAGAAACAACUGUAAAGAAGCUUUCUUCAGAACAUCCAACAGAUGAUGCAAGUCUGGACACAGGAUACUAUACUUCACAAUAUACUACUAGUUCUGAUUUGGUUUCUUGUUUCUUGUUUUUCAUAUAUCUUUAACAAAUAAGUUAUUUAUUUUUGUACUUUAGAAAUAAUCAAGUAUGUUCAGAUAAAAUAGAGAAAGUAGCAUAUAAAUGAUUUCUCCUCCAUUGCAAUGUUUCAUGUAAAUAUUUGGAUACCCAGAUGUUGUGGGAUGUUCUGGGGCUAAUUAUACUUGACGUUAAUUCCAUUCUCCUGUGAGUUGUGUUUUCAUUGGCAAGGCAUAUUUGGGUUGAAGAUUUACUGCAACACCCAGAUGUAACAAGGAAAGAAAAUAAAAGCUAAAUGAACAGCCUGUUUGCUCCA